Molecule: long non-coding RNA, 1986 nt
Filed under: Pan troglodytes (chimpanzee)
Lineage: Eukaryota; Metazoa; Chordata; Mammalia; Primates; Hominidae
Description: long non-coding RNA NONPTRT010269
Source: RNAcentral
CUCUCAUCCUGGACAUUAAUUAAUAUGUCAUGAUAUAGUCAUUGGUACAUACUUGGAAGAACACUGGUAACAUUUCAGGGAGGCUAAUAAAUCUAUCCAGAUAUUUUGAGUUGCAGUCAACAAAAAACUCAACUCAAGCUAGUUUAAACAAUAAAGUGAAUUUAAUGGUUCAUUUAACUGAAAAGUCCAGAGGUAGGUGGGUUUCAGGUACAGUUUCAUUGAGACUCUAGCUCCCUUUGUCUGCCGUUCCCUCAACUCUGCUAUCUCUAUUCACUUUGCCCUUAUGCCGAUUUUCUUCAUGGUAGCAAAACGGUUACAGCAGUUCUUGGUCUCAUCUGUUUUCUCCACAGUCUCAAAUGCACUGUGUCACUCUAAACUGGUUAAGUUUCUUGCCUUCCUCUAAAGGCUGCUCGGAAUCACAUGGGCAUAUGACCUAAGGAAAUCAGGGGCUUUGGGAAGUAAAAUGGGGAGUAUGUCCUGGGGAGGCAACCAACACGGUAACCGCGCAUGUCCUUACAGGAAAAGGAAACCUGGACGCAGGCACGUAUGAGGGAAGACAACGUGGAGAGGCAAGGAGAAGACGGCCACCUGCAAGCCAAGGAGAGAGGCCUGGAACACACUCUUACUUCAUGGCCCUCAGAAGAAGGCCACCCUGUCAACACCUUGAGCUCAGACUUCAGCCUCCAGAGCUGUGAAAAAAGAAAUUUCUGUUGUUUAAGCCCCUCAGUUUGGGGUAAUUUCUUAUGGUGGCCCUAGCAAAUGAAUACAGGUCCCAAAUAACUCUUCAGUUUGGCCAUAUUUCCCUUACCUCUAGGGACUAAUUUCUAAGUGCCAGUUGUUUUCUUGACACCAACCAUUCAAGGUGGGUGAAGAGGGUCUGACAGGGCAGGACACCUAAUGGGAGUUACCCAGCUGUUGAGGGGGACGCAGGUCUGCUGGUCAAAUCAUCUGUCCUCUAUGAACUCAAUUUCUUCCAUGGGAGAAAGAGAAAUGCAACUCCUCACAGUCAAGAGUUGGCCUGUCACUAGGCUGCGGUCGUGUCUCGUUGAACAUAAACAACUUCACAGAAUGUUCUCAUGAAACAAGGCCACUCACAAAUGUAUACCUGCUUCCUGACAGCACCCAAUCCACAACAAAUGCCUGCUUCUUGGAACCCCCACACCCUGGCCCAUAUAAUGACCUAACACAAACCCGAAUCCUACAACCAGUCCUUCUAGUGCUUUCUCAGGGAGACGUGUUUUCCAUAGCAUGCUGGCUCCCCUUGAGGCAGUGAGCCAAUGAACCCUAACUCUGUUCGUAGUUGUCUUUGAGACAUUAACAAGAGUUUUGACUUUAUUUUACAUAUACAUCAGUCAAUGGGGUACCCUCGCCCCCCACACUUCAGCCAGGACAAUUUAUACGGUUUAAUACACCUCUUACAACAUUGACUCUUAUUUUUAUUAUCAUUACAUGAACAGUUACUAACUUAUUAACCUUGAAUUUUUUAUCUCUUCAUUUAAUUUGGAAUUUCUUAAUAUAGAAUGUGGUAGGGGAGAGGAGGGCUCCCUUUCAAAACAGCAACAGUGGCCGGGUACAGUAGCUCACGCCUAUAAUUCCAUCACUUUGGGAGGCUGAGGGGAGACGAUCACUUGAGCUCAGGAUCUCACUGUCGAGGUUAUAGUGAGCUGUGAUCACACCACUGCACUCCAGCCUGGGUGUCAGAGUGAGACCUUGUCUCUAAAAAAAAAGAAAAAGAAAAAAAAAUAGCUAUAAGUUAUGAUAAGAGUUGUUUAAGGGUAAAGUUUAACUGUAUAGUGAGUUUAUUUAGCUGCUUAUGAGAGUGGAAUGAAUGCGAUCCUCCCACCUACGAAUAGGUCAAGAAUGUGCUUCAUGCCUUAUUCCCAAGGUAAUGCUGGUAUGGGUUGGUUUAAACGGCAUUCUGGAUGCCCUUUAGGGUUUUCUGUGAAAUCCUAAUGAACGAGCCAUUUUUGUGUAACCCAUUUUUAU